This 185-nucleotide small RNA is filed under the name Carnobacterium maltaromaticum. RNAcentral describes it as "rli28". It matches the Rfam family "Listeria sRNA rli28". The record is from RNAcentral. Lineage: Bacteria; Bacillati; Bacillota; Bacilli; Lactobacillales; Carnobacteriaceae.
UUUAUUAUGCUAUAAUUUAGAUGUAGGAAGUGCAAUAGAUGGUUGGCUAAAUCUCAGUAAAAAGGGGUGUAUGCCUAUGUUAAAUGAUAGUUUUACUCCUAGAAAGGAUUAAACAUGUCUGUUUUUGAAGCCUUGAUGUUCGCGUUAGCGUUCACAACGUUAGCUUUAAAAAUUUACGAUCAUAA